CGGAUGAGGCAUGAGUGGCACUAAUCAGCCGGGGUGUGUCCGCUGCAGUGGCAUCGACCCCGGUCCGAACCCAACCUGGAGACACCACAGCACAGGGGCCAUCUGACUCCAC
Hippoglossus stenolepis (Pacific halibut) is the source of this 112-nucleotide small nucleolar RNA. RefSeq annotates it as small nucleolar RNA SNORD67. Lineage: Eukaryota; Metazoa; Chordata; Actinopteri; Pleuronectiformes; Pleuronectidae. The transcript has a single exon. The record is from RefSeq and is a predicted model, not a curated record.